UACGGAGGGUGCAAGCGUUAUCCGGAUUCACUGGGUUUAAAGGGUGCGUAGGCGGGUUGGUAAGUCAGUGGUGAAAUCCCCGAGCUUAACUUGGGAACUGCCAUUGAUACUAUUAAUCUUGAAUACUGUGGAGGUCAGCGGAAUAUGUCAUGUAGCGGUGAAAUGCUUAGAUAUGACAUAGAACACCAAUUGCGAAGGCAGCUGGCUACACAAAUAUUGACACUGAGGCACGAAAGCGCGGGGAUCAAACAGG
This 253-nucleotide ribosomal RNA is filed under the name uncultured bacterium. RNAcentral describes it as "partial 16S ribosomal RNA". It matches the Rfam family "Bacterial small subunit ribosomal RNA", at positions 524 to 776 of the family's 1533-position model. The record is from RNAcentral.